CUGCCCUCGAGCCGGUCCAGCAUCUAGGUGCUGCUCCGGCCCGGCGUUGGGGCACUACGGGAAGCCUCGUGCUAUCCCCCGUAGGCCCCGAAAUGAAGUGGCGGUCCUGCCGCGGCUCCCCCUGCGUAGUAUUACAGCUCGCUUCGGGACCCGGUGGAGGCCUGCCGUCAAACCUUACUCUCUAA
RNAcentral lists this unclassified non-coding RNA (185 nucleotides) under Cephalotrichum stemonitis. RNAcentral's name for it is "partial internal transcribed spacer 2". The record is from RNAcentral. Lineage: Eukaryota; Fungi; Ascomycota; Sordariomycetes; Microascales; Microascaceae.